UAUACGACUCUCGGCAAUGGAUAUCUCGGCUCUCGCAUCGAUGAAGAGCGCAGCGAAAUGCGAUACGUGGUGUGAAUUGCAGAAUCCCGCGAACCAUCGAGUCUUUGAACGCAAGUUGCGCCCGAGGCCAACCGGCUGAGGGCACGUCCGCCUGGGCGUCAAGC
RNAcentral lists this ribosomal RNA (164 nucleotides) under Appendicula cornuta. Its description in RNAcentral is "5.8S ribosomal RNA". It matches the Rfam family "5.8S ribosomal RNA". Rfam says of the family: 5.8S ribosomal RNA (5.8S rRNA) is a component of the large subunit of the eukaryotic ribosome. It is transcribed by RNA polymerase I as part of the 45S precursor that also contains 18S and 28S rRNA. Functionally, it is thought that 5.8S rRNA may be involved in ribosome translocation. Lineage: Eukaryota; Viridiplantae; Streptophyta; Magnoliopsida; Asparagales; Orchidaceae. The record is from RNAcentral.